RNAcentral lists this ribosomal RNA (253 nucleotides) under uncultured bacterium. Its description in RNAcentral is "partial 16S ribosomal RNA". It matches the Rfam family "Bacterial small subunit ribosomal RNA", at positions 524 to 776 of the family's 1533-position model. The record is from RNAcentral.
UACGUAGGGGGCCAGCGUUGUCCGGAAUCAUUGGGCGUAAAGCGCGCGUAGGCGGCCAGACAAGUCCGGUGUGAAAGUCACAGGCUCAACCUGUGAAUGCCGCUGGAAACUGUCUGGCUAGAGUCCGGAAGGGGCGAGUGGAAUUCCUGGUGUAGCGGUGAAAUGCGCAGAUAUCAGGAAGAACACCCGUGGCGAAAGCGGCUCUCUGGAACGGUACUGACGCUGAGACGCGAAAGCGUGGGGAGCGAACAGG